AGUGGCGAACGGGUGAGUAACACGUGAGUAACCUGCCCUUGACUUCGGGAUAACUCCGGGAAACCGGGGCUAAUACCGGAUAUGAGCUACCCUCGCAUGGGGGUGGUUGGAAAGUUUUUCGGUCAGGGAUGGGCUCGCGGCCUAUCAGCUUGUUGGUGGGGUGAUGGCCUACCAAGGCGACGACGGGUAGCCGGCCUGAGAGGGCGACCGGCCACACUGGGACUGAGACACGGCCCAGACUCCUACGGGAGGCAGCAGUGGGGAAUAUUGCACAAUGGGCGCAAGCCUGAUGCAGCGACGCCGCGUGAGGGAUGAAGGCCUUCGGGUUGUAAACCUCUUUCAGCAGGGAAGAAGCGCAAGUGACGGUACCUGCAGAAGAAGCGCCGGCUAACUACGUGCCAGCAGCCGCGGUAAUACGUAGGGCGCAAGCGUUGUCCGGAAUUAUUGGGCGUAAAGAGCUCGUAGGCGGUUUGUCGCGUCUGGUGUGAAAACUCGAGGCUCAACCUCGAGCUUGCAUCGGGUACGGGCAGACUAGAGUGCGGUAGGGGAGACUGGAAUUCCUGGUGUAGCGGUGGAAUGCGCAGAUAUCAGGAGGAACACCGAUGGCGAAGGCAGGUCUCUGGGCCGCAACUGACGCUGAGGAGCGAAAGCAUGGGGAGCGAACAGGAUUAGAUACCCUGGUAGUCCAUGCCGUAAACGUUGGGCACUAGGUGUGGGGCUCAUUCCACGAGUUCCGUGCCGCAGCAAACGCAUUAAGUGCCCCGCCUGGGGAGUACGGCCGCAAGGCUAAAACUCAAAGGAAUUGACGGGGGCCCGCACAAGCGGCGGAGCAUGCGGAUUAAUUCGAUGCAACGCGAAGAACCUUACCAAGGCUUGACAUGCACGGGAAGCCACCAGAGAUGGUGGUCUCUUUGGACACUCGUGCACAGGUGGUGCAUGGUUGUCGUCAGCUCGUGUCGUGAGAUGUUGGGUUAAGUCCCGCAACGAGCGCAACCCUCGUCCCAUGUUGCCAGCGGGUUAUGCCGGGGACUCAUGGGAGACUGCCGGGGUCAACUCGGAGGAAGGUGGGGAUGACGUCAAAUCAUCAUGCCCCUUAUGUCUUGGGCUUCACGCAUGCUACAAUGGCCGGUACAAAGGGCUGCGAUACCGUAAGGUGGAGCGAAUCCCAAAAAGCCGGUCUCAGUUCGGAUUGGGGUCUGCAACUCGACCCCAUGAAGUCGGAGUCGCUAGUAAUCGCA
This 1238-nucleotide ribosomal RNA is filed under the name Cellulosimicrobium sp. Its description in RNAcentral is "bacterial SSU rRNA". It matches the Rfam family "Bacterial small subunit ribosomal RNA", at positions 94 to 1346 of the family's 1533-position model. The record is from RNAcentral. Lineage: Bacteria; Bacillati; Actinomycetota; Actinomycetes; Micrococcales; Promicromonosporaceae.